Molecule: ribosomal RNA, 324 nt
Filed under: Escherichia coli
Lineage: Bacteria; Pseudomonadati; Pseudomonadota; Gammaproteobacteria; Enterobacterales; Enterobacteriaceae
Description: partial 23S ribosomal RNA
Rfam family: Bacterial large subunit ribosomal RNA
Source: RNAcentral
GGUUAAGCGACUAAGCGUACACGGUGGAUGCCCUGGCAGUCAGAGGCGAUGAAGGACGUGCUAAUCUGCGAUAAGCGUCGGUAAGGUGAUAUGAACCGUUAUAACCGGCGAUUUCCGAAUGGGGAAACCCAGUGUGAUUCGUCACACUAUCAUUAACUGAAUCCAUAGGUUAAUGAGGCGAACCGGGGGAACUGAAACAUCUAAGUACCCCGAGGAAAAGAAAUCAACCGAGAUUCCCCCAGUAGCGGCGAGCGAACGGGGAGGAGCCCAGAGCCUGAAUCAGUGUGUGUGUUAGUGGAAGCGUCUGGAAAGGCGCGCGAUACA